Danaus plexippus (monarch butterfly) is the source of this 275-nucleotide long non-coding RNA. RefSeq lists it as uncharacterized. Lineage: Eukaryota; Metazoa; Arthropoda; Insecta; Lepidoptera; Nymphalidae. The record is from RefSeq and is a predicted model, not a curated record. The transcript is spliced from 2 exons.
CCAGUGUUUAACUUUGUGUCUCUUAGUUUUGUUAUUUUUUCCAAGAGGGUGACUUCAACGUGAUGAGUUCCGAUGGAAUUUAGCAUAAGAAUUUGAAGCAAAAUAUAAAUAUAAAAUAUGAAAAACGAGAAAAAUAAAAGAAGCGGUAGCUUACCGAUUAGAAAUAGUCCUUAGUCCGGGUCGACGACAGAAAACCAAGAGGGCCAAAGAAUUGCUGGCCGUCGAUACCAGAAACAGAACAAGGAGCACCACCUCCUCAACGAGCCGGUGCUUCG